RNAcentral lists this transfer RNA (98 nucleotides) under [Torrubiella] hemipterigena. Its description in RNAcentral is "Torrubiella hemipterigena tRNA". It matches the Rfam family "tRNA". Rfam says of the family: Transfer RNA (tRNA) molecules are approximately 80 nucleotides in length. Their secondary structure includes four short double-helical elements and three loops (D, anti-codon, and T loops). Further hydrogen bonds mediate the characteristic L-shaped molecular structure. tRNAs have two regions of fundamental functional importance: the anti-codon, which is responsible for specific mRNA codon recognition, and the 3' end, to which the tRNAs corresponding amino acid is attached (by aminoacyl-tRNA synthetases). tRNAs cope with the degeneracy of the genetic code in two manners: having more than one tRNA (with a specific anti-codon) for a particular amino acid; and 'wobble' base-pairing, i.e. permitting non-standard base-pairing at the 3rd anti-codon position. The record is from Rfam by way of RNAcentral. Lineage: Eukaryota; Fungi; Ascomycota; Sordariomycetes; Hypocreales; Clavicipitaceae.
GGGAGUCUGGCCGAGUGGUUAAGGCGCUGUGUUUAGGUUGUAUCCCAACUAUAGACCGCAGUCACAUUGUGGCGCAGGUUCGAAUCCUGCGGCUCUCA